UCUUAGAGUUUUGGGGCUCCCUGUGGAAACUCUUCUCUUGGAAUCCUGGCUGGAUGGCUUUGCUUCAGACACUAGCGAGGGGGAGAGUUUAUUAGGGGAGGCAGAGUCCUUCUGGAGUUUGACCCUUGGAUUCCAUCCAGAGCAGCCUCCAAAAUGACACCUUUGAAGUUGUGUAUCGAGCUGGGGGAUGUAAAGGGAGGAGAAGAAAGAAGAUGAAGAGAUACCAGCCAGCCUUAAGGAGUGGACAUCCUGCCUGGUGAAACUGAACAAGACACCUACCGCAUAUGGAGUUUCGCUCUGUCGCCCAGGCUGGAGUGCAGUGGUGCCAUCUCGGCUCACCGCAACCUCCACCUCCAGGUUCAAGUGAUUCUCCUGCCUCAGCCUCUCAAGUAGCUGGGAUUACAGGAGCCCUCUCCCACCGCUCCUACACUGCUGGUAAAAGGCAGCCGCACUGCCUGCUGGAAGACCUGCCAGCUUGGGCUUCAGAGCACUUCUGCCUCAGAUCCACGACGAUCCCUUCUGUCAUCGUGGGACCUUUCCUGGGAUUUGAUUUAGGGCGACGCUUCCUCCUGUCUGUGUCCUGAGUCCUGCCUUCCCUGGCUGGUCCUCUUUGCUUAGUCACCCAGAUCAUUCCCAGACAGCUGCGCCCUGGAUAUGGCUCCUCUCAUGUGCUGCCUGGAAAUGUCUCCUCUCUUCUCACCUGCUGAGAGGUCCUUCUGGGCAGGGACUCGGGCAGAUUCAUUCCUGCCUGCCCCACAUUUCCCUAGCCCAGGGCCUGGCCCGUUGCAGUGCUGAAGGAUGAUUCUGGUAAGAAACAAGGUACUCCAGCUCACAUCUUGCAAUGAUUAUGCCUCCCCCACUCUCCCUUCUCCUUGCAGUUCUCUCUCUUCACUGAUGAUUUUGGAUGCAAUUUAAAAUAAAAAUAUUGAUUAAAAAUGGAAACUAUAUAAAUAAAAAUAAAAACACUUAACAUCAA
Molecule: long non-coding RNA, 976 nt
Filed under: Homo sapiens (human)
Lineage: Eukaryota; Metazoa; Chordata; Mammalia; Primates; Hominidae
Description: HSALNT0291484
Source: RNAcentral